GGAUGCCUUGGCACUAGAAGCCGAUGAAGGACGUUACUAACGACGAUAUGCUUUGGGGAGCUGUAAGUAAGCUUUGAUCCAGAGAUUUCCGAAUGGGGAAACCCAGCAUGAGUUAUGUCAUGUUAUCGAUAUGUGAAUACAUAGCAUAUCAGAAGGCACACCCGGAGAACUGAAACAUCUUAGUACCCGGAGGAAGAGAAAGAAAAUUCGAUUCCCUUAGUAGCGGCGAGCGAAACGGGAAGAGCCCAAACCAACAAGCUUGCUUGUUGGGGUUGUAGGACACUCUAUACGGAGUUACAAAGGACGACAUUAGACGAAUCAUCUGGAAAGAUGAAUCAAAGAAGGUAAUAAUCCUGUAGUCGAAAAUGUUGUCUCUCUUGAGUGGAUCCUGAGUACGACGGAGCACGUGAAAUUCCGUCGGAAUCUGGGAGGACCAUCUCCUAAGGCUAAAUACUCUCUAGUGACCGAUAGUGAACCAGUACCGUGAGGGAAAGGUGAAAAGCACCCCGGAAGGGGAGUGAAAUAGAACCUGAAACCGUGUGCUUACAAGUAGUCAGAGCCCGUUAAUGGGUGAUGGCGUGCCUUUUGUAGAAUGAACCGGCGAGUUACGAUUUGAUGCAAGGUUAAGCAGUAAAUGUGGAGCCGUAGCGAAAGCGAGUCUGAAUAGGGCGUUUAGUAUUUGGUCGUAGACCCGAAACCAGGUGAUCUACCCUUGGUCAGGUUGAAGUUCAGGUAACACUGAAUGGAGGACCGAACCGACUUACGUUGAAAAGUGAGCGGAUGAACUGAGGGUAGCGGAGAAAUUCCAAUCGAACCUGGAGAUAGCUGGUUCUCUCCGAAAUAGCUUUAGGGCUAGCCUCAAGUGAUGAUUAUUGGAGGUAGAGCACUGUUUGGACGAGGGGCCCCUCUCGGGUUACCGAAUUCAGACAAACUCCGAAUGCCAAUUAAUUUAACUUGGGAGUCAGAACAUGGGUGAUAAGGUCCGUGUUCGAAAGGGAAACAGCCCAGACCACCAGCUAAGGUCCCAAAAUAUAUGUUAAGUGGAAAAGGAUGUGGCGUUGCCCAGACAACUAGGAUGUUGGCUUAGAAGCAGCCAUCAUUUAAAGAGUGCGUAAUAGCUCACUAGUCGAGUGACACUGCGCCGAAAAUGUACCGGGGCUAAACAUAUUACCGAAGCUGUGGAUUGUCCUUUGGACAAUGGUAGGAGAGCGUUCUAAGGGCGUUGAAGCAUGAUCGUAAGGACAUGUGGAGCGCUUAGAAGUGAGAAUGCCGGUGUGAGUAGCGAAAGACGGGUGAGAAUCCCGUCCACCGAUUGACUAAGGUUUCCAGAGGAAGGCUCGUCCGCUCUGGGUUAGUCGGGUCCUAAGCUGAGGCCGACAGGCGUAGGCGAUGGAUAACAGGUUGAUAUUCCUGUACCACCUAUAAUCGUUUUAAUCGAUGGGGGGACGCAGUAGGAUAGGCGAAGCGUGCGAUUGGAUUGCACGUCUAAGCAGUAAGGCUGAGUAUUAGGCAAAUCCGGUACUCGUUAAGGCUGAGCUGUGAUGGGGAGAAGACAUUGUGUCUUCGAGUCGUUGAUUUCACACUGCCGAGAAAAGCCUCUAGAUAGAAAAUAGGUGCCCGUACCGCAAACCGACACAGGUAGUCAAGAUGAGAAUUCUAAGGUGAGCGAGCGAACUCUCGUUAAGGAACUCGGCAAAAUGACCCCGUAACUUCGGGAGAAGGGGUGCUCUUUAGGGUUAACGCCCAGAAGAGCCGCAGUGAAUAGGCCCAAGCGACUGUUUAUCAAAAACACAGGUCUCUGCUAAACCGUAAGGUGAUGUAUAGGGGCUGACGCCUGCCCGGUGCUGGAAGGUUAAGAGGAGUGGUUAGCUUCUGCGAAGCUACGAAUCGAAGCCCCAGUAAACGGCGGCCGUAACUAUAACGGUCCUAAGGUAGCGAAAUUCCUUGUCGGGUAAGUUCCGACCCGCACGAAAGGCGUAACGAUUUGGGCACUGUCUCAACGAGAGACUCGGUGAAAUCAUAGUACCUGUGAAGAUGCAGGUUACCCGCGACAGGACGGAAAGACCCCGUGGAGCUUUACUGUAGCCUGAUAUUGAAAUUCGGCACAGCUUGUACAGGAUAGGUAGGAGCCUUUGAAACGUGAGCGCUAGCUUACGUGGAGGCGCUGGUGGGAUACUACCCUAGCUGUGUUGGCUUUCUAACCCGCACCACUUAUCGUGGUGGGAGACAGUGUCAGGCGGGCAGUUUGACUGGGGCGGUCGCCUCCUAAAAGGUAACGGAGGCGCUCAAAGGUUCCCUCAGAAUGGUUGGAAAUCAUUCAUAGAGUGUAAAGGCAUAAGGGAGCUUGACUGCGAGACCUACAAGUCGAGCAGGGUCGAAAGACGGACUUAGUGAUCCGGUGGUUCCGCAUGGAAGGGCCAUCGCUCAACGGAUAAAAGCUACCCCGGGGAUAACAGGCUUAUCUCCCCCAAGAGUUCACAUCGACGGGGAGGUUUGGCACCUCGAUGUCGGCUCAUCGCAUCCUGGGGCUGUAGUCGGUCCCAAGGGUUGGGCUGUUCGCCCAUUAAAGCGGUACGCGAGCUGGGUUCAGAACGUCGUGAGACAGUUCGGUCCCUAUCCGUCGUGGGCGUAGGAAAUUUGAGAGGAGCUGUCCUUAGUACGAGAGGACCGGGAUGGACAUACCUCUGGUGUACCAGUUGUCGUGCCAACGGCAUAGCUGGGUAGCUAUGUGUGGACGGGAUAAGUGCUGAAAGCAUCUAAGCAUGAAGCCCCCCUCAAGAUGAGAUUUCCCAACUUCGGUUAUAAGAUCCCUCAAAGAUGAUGAGGUUAAUAGGUUCGAGGUGGAAGCAUGGUGACAUGUGGAGCUGACGAAUACUAAUCGAUCGAAGACUUAAUCAA
This 2898-nucleotide ribosomal RNA is filed under the name Staphylococcus aureus. Its description in RNAcentral is "partial 23S ribosomal RNA". It matches the Rfam family "Bacterial large subunit ribosomal RNA". Lineage: Bacteria; Bacillati; Bacillota; Bacilli; Caryophanales; Staphylococcaceae. The record is from RNAcentral.